This 150-nucleotide ribosomal RNA is filed under the name Benjaminiella multispora. RNAcentral describes it as "5.8S ribosomal RNA". It matches the Rfam family "5.8S ribosomal RNA". Rfam says of the family: 5.8S ribosomal RNA (5.8S rRNA) is a component of the large subunit of the eukaryotic ribosome. It is transcribed by RNA polymerase I as part of the 45S precursor that also contains 18S and 28S rRNA. Lineage: Eukaryota; Fungi; Mucoromycota; Mucoromycetes; Mucorales; Mucoraceae. The record is from RNAcentral.
AACUUUUAACAACGGAUCUCUUGGUUCUCGCAUCGAUGAAGAACGUAGCAAAGUGCGAUAACUAGUGUGAAUUGCAUAUUUAGUGAAUCAUCGAGUCUUUGAACGCAACUUGCAGCCAGUGGUAUUCCACUGGCUAUGCCUGUUUCAGUA